CAAAAACAUGUCCUCUUGAUUAUAUUUUGAGGUCUGGCCUGCUCACUGAUAAAUUUAAAGAGCCGCGGUAUUUUGACCGUGCAAAGGUAGCAUAAUCAUUAGUCUUUUAAUUAAGGGCUGGAAUGAAUGGCUUGACGAGAAAUUAACUGUCUCUUAAUAAUUUAUAAAAUUUAACUUUUGAGUCAAAAGGCUUAAAUUUUUCUUUAGGACGAGAAGACCCUAUAGAGCUUAACAUAUAAUUUAUAUUUAUACAUUAGAUGGUUUUUAUAUAUUUAAUGAUAAUGUUUUGUUGGGGUGACAUGAAGAAUUAAUAAACUCUUCAUUAUAAAAUCAUUAAUUUAUGUUUGUUUUUGAUCCAUAAUUUAUGAUCAUAAGAUUAAGUUACCUUAGGGAUAACAGCGUAAUUGUUUUUGAGAGCUCAAAUCAACAAAGCAGAUUGCGACCUCGAUGUUGGAUUAAGAAAAAUUUUGGGUGC
This 475-nucleotide ribosomal RNA is filed under the name Ceracris kiangsu (yellow-spined bamboo locust). Its description in RNAcentral is "partial 16S ribosomal RNA". It matches the Rfam family "Archaeal large subunit ribosomal RNA", at positions 1900 to 2625 of the family's 2987-position model. The record is from RNAcentral. Lineage: Eukaryota; Metazoa; Arthropoda; Insecta; Orthoptera; Acrididae.